This is a long non-coding RNA of Manis javanica (Malayan pangolin), 3951 nucleotides long. RefSeq lists it as uncharacterized. NCBI's taxonomy places the organism in Eukaryota, Metazoa, Chordata, Mammalia, Pholidota, Manidae. The record is from RefSeq and is a predicted model, not a curated record.
ACGCUAGCUACUUGCACUGUCUCCUGUCGGCGUGGAGGACUACUGGAUGGAACUCAGGGACUCUGAUUCAGUCACCCCACGGGUCACAAAGAGGAUCAUAGAGACGAGAGCAAAGAGAACCCUGAAUGAGAUGCCAGUGACAAGUUGUGGCUAAGGUAAGUGGAAGUUUGCUGGCACAGCCUCCUCUGCUUCUUCCUGCCAGAACACAGACACAAGUCAGGGGAGCAGUUCCUACCCCUGAGGAGAGCACAGCAUGAACAUGAAGGAGCCUGGUACCUAGAGGACAAUGCUGAAUCCAUGCAGCAGCUCUGGACAACCCAGUCUACAGGACACAGGAUGCUCACGCCUUCCAGGACCUCUCACUGAGUAGGGGCAAGUGGGUGCACAUGGAGCCGGGUUCUCCCUAGAAACUUGAAGGCGAGACAAGCAGCUGCUGAGGAAGUCAGGCUGCAUCUCUGUGUGUGGUUUGUGGAACACUCACCUCACAGUUCCUAUCUCCCCGUCUUUUAAGCAAAUAAACAUUUAUUUCCAUUUGCCCUUUGUGUUGACUGGCUCACACAGUUGAAGUUGAUUAAGCAAAUAUAAGUGUUGGGAAGCGUCAUGAAACCACAUCUCAGUCUGUGGUGUUCAGCUGCAGAGUCAAGCGGUGCUUGUUCACUGUUUGAAUUUUAGGUUUAUCCUUUACUGAUUUUGUUUUCUUUCUUUUUAUCCCCAGAGCAGUGCCGGCUCCUGGUAGCACAUUCAUCCAAUACCCAGUGUAUUAAGAGUGAACAUCUAUAACCACCUUUCCAAUUUACUCUCCAGCAGUGGUGCUGGUGUAAGUGUGCACUGGAGCAGAUUCAGCUGUCUUCAAACUUCAGCAGCUUCUUUGUUAAGUAAUGUGCUGGUUACCCAAACUUGUUAACAAUGAGGCCUGAGACUCCAAAACAUUUCUCCAUGUAUUAGCAUCUAGGUUCUCUUCCCACCGGCUUAGCCACUCCCAAAUCAUUACUGGUAUCUUUGAUUACCUUAUCUCAUCCUGGGCAGCAUUUCUUAGUUUCCCAAAGUGGAAAUCCUUUGCUUCUCCAAUUUGUCAGCAGCUUCAGUCCAUUGACCUGCCGCGCUGUCUUGGGGGCUUUGUCAUUCCCAUUGCCCGGGCCCCGAUCCCUCCCUCCACCUCAGAGCCUGUAUGAGUAGAUUUUGGGUGUACAGCCCUGUACUUCUGAGGCAUCCAGAACUGUCUGACAGAGGAAGGGGCUCCUGACAUAUCUUGACCUUGUCUAGCAGCUGCAGCAAGACUAUAGUCCUUCUAUCACACUUUGCAUUAAACCUGCUCUUGAAACAGUGGACAAAUUUAAACAUUGGAAACUUUACUCUUAAUGAUUUAUCCACAAAUCUUAUUUUGUUGACCUUCAUUUUCUUAAAACUUCCUUGUCCUAUUUUAAAAUUCUGGAUAUAUCUUUAUGUUUCAGCUCAACAUGGACCUUUCCUUCCCUUCAGGUAAUAUAACCAAAGAAAAGGUUGUCCAUCAGCUGACAAUAAGCAGCCCCAAAUCUGAAAUGGUUCAGUCUUGUUUAAGACUGCCAAUGGCAGAAACUCAUUCAUUUGAGCCGGCAUCACCUCUCCUUUCCUGCCUGGGGUGGGGUACAGCCUAUGUGGGGCAGUGGAUGAAGGGAGAAGGAAAUGUACAGCGGCAACACUGUUAGCUUUGUGCAAAGAACCCAGCUUGCAAAACUUUUGUCCACUAGGGAAGGGACUUUCAGGAGGUCUGGGAGGUGAACUGGCCCAGGUUUUAACCACCAGUGAAAGGGAAUAGAUAGACCCACGGACUCAGAUGGAGAGCCAGAGUUUAAGGAACUUGCUAGGCCUACUUCCUGAAUCCUCACCAAGCCUGUGCCUUCAGCUAAGCUGGGAUCUGCUGGCUGCCUACUUAAGGGCAGAUGGCUAGAAUCCACUGACAGGUCCUCCCAUGGCAUGUCUGGGGCAUCAGCCAGCUAGAUGAAGACAGCCCUGGCCCAGAGGACUCUGAGCACUUAAGAUGGGGGCUUUAGCACCCAAGAGAGGGUGCCCACCAAACUCAACGGGGAGGACUGCUCCAACUUAGUGGGACUUCCUACACUGUGUCUCAUGCUUUCAAUCAGUCUUGUGCCUCAUCUAUUAACCCCUGUUUCCCUGGUAUUUGCUACACUCUCUGGACCCAGAGCAUCCUCUCAGAUUCCGCUUCAGACACUGCAUAGCUGAGCCAGCAAACUCCCCAUCCCCCAACCCCAGGCCCUGGUUUUCAGGCCAAGUGCUCCACCUGCUGGUGACACUGGAUUCUCACAGAAUCCAACCUUAAACCCUGCUUCCCAGAGGCCUCUGUACACUGACCUUGACAUUCUGUUGCGUGAGAGGGGAUCCCUUCAUCCCAUUACUACUAGAACUUUCAAACAACUGACCAAAAAUUCGUGUCUGUUAGAGGUGCUGUCCAGGAAACAAUAGGAGAUUCAUUUUGUUUAAAGCCACACACUGACACGACACCACAGAUAAAAAGUAGCUGCCUGGCUUGGUGAGAGGGAGGCCCAGGAGGGUGGCAGGGGAGGCACCUGCCCUCAUUGUUGUAACUCAUCGUCAUGUGACCGUUUCUUCUAACACGUAGCCUUCAAGGCUGUGAUGUGCUUGUCUAAUAUAAACUGUAACCAUUAGAGGCUAGUCGCACUACUGCCUCCCCAUCAGCUCCUGGGGCCCCAUCUGGUCAAGAGGGAAAUGGCCACCAUGGCUGUUGCAGGCAAACACGGGCACAGGACCUGUUGUGCACCAGGCUCUGGGCUCGGCCUUCACCGGUAUUGUCCUCACGCACUCCACACCAACUGCAGGUGGAGGUCCUAGGCAUUGGCACUUCUGUAUGCGCUUGAGAAACUAAGCACAGAGAGCUGAAGAGGCUUGCAAGGGCACACAGCUGGCAUGAGGAGGCCCCAGGGGCCAGCCUCUGCCCCACCAUGCUAUCCCGGGUCAGCGGGGAGGAGGCAGGUCCAGACACCAACCCCCACCCCUCCCCAUGGGAGUGAUCACACCAGCAAGGAAGGCAAAUGGCUUCCAGGUGAAGCCGGCCUGGUGCUCCCACUCUGGGCCCUGCCAGCCAUCGUGAGCCCAGCCUCUCAGCCCCAGGCAGGGACAACAGCCCAGGGGGGCAGGCAGAAAGGCAGCCCCAGCACUAGAGCCAGCAGUCUGCAAGCUGACUUUGCAGCUGCUGCCCAGGAAGCUCUGUGGGGUGUCAGGCCCUGCUGAGACCACAGCCUUCAGUCCUGCAGAGGUAGGAGCCCUCCCAGCUACAGUUUCAAACUAGCCUUGGGAUCUUGUCUCCACCUCCUUGGUCUCCUCCCCUUUUCCCCCAUCACACCUUCUGCUUCCCUUUUACCCUCUAACCUCUAACUGGGUUGUUUCACCUUCACUGAAUCCCAAGCCCCAGAAUGGUGUUGAAGACAUUGUCGAUGUUCCAGAGAGAUGUCUCAAUUGACAGUGUGAAUGAAGGCUAUGAAAGGGCACACUUUCCACUGAAUAGACUCUAGGAUGCUGGUCAUUCUCCAGAUUCAUUCUGGACCUUUCUGUCUGCCCUGUGCCUGAGGCUGACUCCACUGUCCACAACACCAGGCCCUCUGGGGGCUGCAUUUGCUCCAGCACUAAAUGGGGGAAUGGGGGGUAGGGCGGUUUCCCCUGGCCCCUCCCUGCUUUGCUUCCUUGCUGACAGCCCCUCAGGGGCCCAGAGGACAGCAACCCCUCCUGCCUCCAGGCCCAGGGUGGGCACAGCUGCCCCCAGCAUCUGGGAGGCUCCCCUUCCUCCUCCUCCCUUCCCCCUGCCCACAGCUCUGCGGACUCACCUUCCUUGGCACCCCUGGGAAUGAAGUGCUCCCUGUGGGCAUCUUCUCUGAUCCACCAGGCAACCCUUCUUGUGUGUGUAUAUGACUUUGGUACUUUAUCUGCACAGACAAAUCA